This 201-nucleotide ribosomal RNA is filed under the name uncultured bacterium. RNAcentral describes it as "partial 16S ribosomal RNA". It matches the Rfam family "Bacterial small subunit ribosomal RNA", at positions 1300 to 1500 of the family's 1533-position model. The record is from RNAcentral.
GUAGUCUGCAACUCGACUACAUGAAGCUGGAAUCGCUAGUAAUCGCGAAUCAGAAUGUCGCGGUGAAUACGUUCCCGGGUCUUGUACACACCGCCCGUCACACCAUGGGAGUUGGGAAUGCCCGAAGCCGGUGACCUAACCGAAAGGGAGGAGCCGUCGAAGGCAGGCUUGAUAACUGGGGUGAAGUCGUAACAAGGUAAC